Molecule: transfer RNA, 74 nt
Filed under: bacterium
Lineage: Bacteria
Also listed under: 1 other name
Description: tRNA-Gln
Rfam family: tRNA
About the family: Transfer RNA (tRNA) molecules are approximately 80 nucleotides in length. Their secondary structure includes four short double-helical elements and three loops (D, anti-codon, and T loops).
Source: RNAcentral
UGGGACAUGGUGAAAUGGUAUCACAACUGACUCUGGAUCAGUUUUUCGGGGUUCGAAUCCCUGUGUCCCAGCCA